This 501-nucleotide ribosomal RNA is filed under the name uncultured bacterium. RNAcentral describes it as "partial 16S ribosomal RNA". It matches the Rfam family "Bacterial small subunit ribosomal RNA", at positions 30 to 523 of the family's 1533-position model. The record is from RNAcentral.
AUUGAACGCUGGCGGCAGGCUUAACACAUGCAAGUCGAGCGGGCGAGGUUGCUUCGGUAACUGAGCUAGCGGCGGACGGGUGAGUAAUGCUUAGGAAUCUGCCUAUUAGUGGGGGACAACAUUCCGAAAGGAAUGCUAAUACCGCAUACGCCCUACGGGGGAAAGCAGGGGAUCUUCGGACCUUGCGCUAGUAGAUGAGCCUAAGUCAGAUUAGCUAGUUGGUGGGGUAAAGGCCUACCAAGGCGACGAUCUGUAGCGGGUCUGAGAGGAUGAUCAGCCACACUGGGACUGAGACACGGCCCAGACUCCUACGGGAGGAAGCAGUGGGGAAUAUUGGACAAUGGGCGGAAGCCUGAUCCAGCCAUGCCGCGUGUGUGAAGAAGGCCUUUUGGUUGUAAAGCACUUUAAGCGAGGAGGAGGCUACUUGGAUUAAUACUCUAGGAUAGUGGACGUUACUUGCAGAAUAAGCACCGGCUAACUCUGUGCCAGCAGCCGCCGCGG